ACAUCUUGUCUAUCAAUAACAUGUUUAACUAUAUAUUAUAUCAAUAUGCUCAAGAAAUCAGGCCUUGGUAAAGAUUUUUCUUUUUUUUUUUUUUUUUUGGGACGGAGUCUCGCUCGAUAAAUAUAAAUAAUAAGUCAUAUUAAGACAAAAUUUAUUUAACUGAUAAAAGUAAAAUUUGUUAUUCUCUCUAGCUGUAUAGAUAAGACAGGAUCUCUAUAGUGCAUUAUUUCAAGACUUACUUAGUAGGAAAACCAGUAGGUUUGAUUUUUUUUUAACUCCUUCACCUUCCUCCAUGAGUAGAGGCAGCCUGAGGCCCUCACCAGAUGCAGAUGCCCAACCUUGAACUUUCCAACCAUUCAGAGUCAUUAGCCAAAUAAACCUUUUAUCUUUAUAAAUUACCUGAUAACAUCCAGAAUAUGUAAAGAACACCUACAACUCGGCCGGGUGCGGUGGCUCACGCCUGUAAUCCCAGCACUUUGGAAUCACUUGAACCCAGGAGGCGGAGGUUGCGGUGAGCCGAGAUCUCGCCAUUGCACUCCAGCCUCAGCCUCCCGAGUAGCUGGGACUACAGGUGCACACCACCAUGCCCAGCUAAUUUUUGUGUUUUUAGUAGAGAUGGGGUUUCCCCACGUUGGCCAGGCGGUAUACACAUUUUUCUAUUAUUCUUAUAUGAAAUACAUGCAAUAGACAAAUUCAUGGAGACAGAAAGUAGAUUAGAGGCUACCAGGAGUGGAAGGAGGGGAGAAUGGGGAUUUAUUAUCCAAUGAGUGCAGUGUUUCUAUUUGUUUUUGUUUUUGUUUGAGACAGGGUCUCGCUCUGUCAUCCAGUUUCUAUUUGGGAUGAUGAAAACGUUUUGAAAAUAAGGCCAGUCCAGCUCCCAACCCCAAGCAGGGAGCAACUUGCUCAGUCCACGUUGUGAUAGCUCCUCGCUGCCACAAGGUGGUGUAACCUAUAAUCUCUCUGGGAAAAAAAAAAAUCAGCUUUUUUUUUUCACCUAUGCCUCUCCCCACCCCCUCUGGGUUCGUUUUGUCUUCCAGAUUGCUGGACUCGCUGAAGAGAGACUACGCAGGAAAGCCCCAGCCACCCAUCAAAUCAGAGAGAAGGAAUCCACCUUCUUACGCUAUGGCAGGGACUCUUAAUCAGAAAUUGGAUACAUUGUUGUAAAAAAUCCAAGCCACGUGGAAGUGUAUAAAAUCUUGGAACUAGAAAUACAUUUGCUGAAAAAUUCAUUAGAGGCUCUCAACAGCAGAAUGGAUGAAGCAGAAGAAAAAAUCAGUGAACUCAAAGGCAGGUGAUUUGAAAAUACACAGAGGAGAAAAAAGAACAAAAAGAGGAUCCUAAAAGCAAAUAACAUGUAACAGAGCUCCAGUUCAUCUGGCAACAGACUUCUCAACAUGCACCACCACCAGACCCACCUUACAAGAAAUGCUAAAGGGAAUUCAAUAAGAAAGAAAAACACUAAUGUGCAAAAAGAAAACAUUUGAAGAUGUAAAACCCACUGGUAAGCAUUGAACAAGACAUCCAGCCUCUCUUGGGUGUCAGUUUGCUCUCUGGUAAAUUGGGAAAUACACCAGUCUCACCAGUUGUUUCUAAUCCUGAGGUUUUCAAUUAUGGAGUGGAAACCCACGAAGCCUACAAGCAAAGGUCUCUGGCUAGCGACAUCACUGAUGAGCACACUACUUUAAACACUGUACGUAGAUGUAACACUACUUUUUUUUUUUUUUUUUUUUUUUUUUUGAGACGGAGUCUCGCUCUGUCGCCCAGGCUGGAGUGCAGUGGCGGGAUCUCGGCUCACUGCAAGCUCCGCCUCCCGGGUUCACGCCAUUCUCCCGCCUCAGCCUCCCGAGUAGCUGGGACUACAGGCAAAGUGCUGGGAUUACAGGCGUGAGCCACCGCGCCCGGCCGAUGUAACACUACUUUAAACACUUUACCUAAUUGGGUAAAGAUAUCCACGUAGCCAAUAUCACUCACUCCAAAUCCCGACUGCCAUGUAGAAGGAAAGGGGAAUCUAUUAUAAGGGCUCUGGUCACUUGGGCCUCCUGGAUCCCAAGGACAGAGCUGUAGCUGCUCUCGUCCACAGAUUCCCAUCUGCUCCUUUCUGCCUCUUGGCUCUGUUCUCUCUCACUGCUUGCCAGGGACUGCUUUGUCCUAAUUACAGGUGGGUGGACUCAUAGUCCUCAGGCCUAGGUGACCAUGUGGUUUACCAUCUCCGUCUUUUCAUUUCACUCCAUUUCCCUACUUUCCCUUUUUUUCUGAUAGUUUGUCCAGAGGGUCUGCAUUAUAAGUUAUUCUUUUAUUCAACAUUAAUAAAAAUUUCAUUCAUCACUACUGCACUACUAAUAUCAGAGCCCACCACUCACAGCACAAGAGACAUUGGCUUCCACCUUUGGUAACAGAUGAUUGCCUAUGUUUAUUUCCCUUCCCAGGCGGUAACACUGGAUGUAAUGUUAGGGCAUCUAUGGGAUAGGGAGAUCUUAGCGCUGGUCUAAGGAAUACAAGUGUUACGCACAGCUCCUCGUCCCCUCCCUGCCUGCCCAGGGCCAGCAUCAGGGGCUGUCAUCACUGGGGGAUGUUCAGCGUGCCAGCCAUCCUGAAGGGCUGGAUGGAUAGGGUGCUGUGCCAGGGCUUUGCCUUUGACAUCCCAGGAUUCUACGAUUCCGGUUUGCUCCAGGUAUGUGCUCUUGGAUAAGGAUCACUAUGGAUAGUUGGAGGGAGGGGACAGAGGAUGCGUCUUCUAUCAAGUUAUAUUUCUAGUUUCCUUCCUUUUCUUAGCAAAUAUCGAUUGAGCACCCACUAUGUACAAAGCACCAUGUGCUGCACACGGGUGGACACAGCAUCGUUUCUGAAAUCAUGGAGCUUUUUGUCUGGUGGGGCUGCGAACACAUCCACAGCAUACUACACGCAUGGCAAACAAGGGAGUGGGUCAGGUGUCAGGUGACGGGGGACCUGGGCAACCUUAUGUGGGCAACCCGGUGGCCAGCCCUGGCUCCAGAGAGAGUAUCUCCCUGGUGCAGAGCCCAGCCCUGGCCUGGCACAAGUUCACCCCCUUGAGCAUCAUGUGCCUGCUGUGAGAAAAGACCAUGCGACACCCACGUGGCAGGAUGAGGAGGGCAUGGAAUCUGGUAGAUGUGCCACAUGUGGUAGCUAUGAAUUCUUACUAAAACAAUGAUUUUUAAGGCUGGGUGCAGUGGCUCACGCCUGUAAUCCCAGCAAUUUGGGAGGCCGAGGAGGGUGGAUCACUUGAGGCCAGGAGUUCAAGACCAGCCUGGCCGACAUGGUGAAACCCCAUCUCUACUAAAAAUACAAAAAUUAGCCGGGCAUUGGUGCUACCACUUACUGAGCAGCCCUGUGUGCUGGGAACCUUGUCCUGUGGUCAGUGCCUCGGCCGUAUCCAUCACACAUGGUGUCAUGGAAACCAGGUUUCCACCAGCAACCUGGGCAUGUUAGAGCUUCUGUGUCUGCAAAUGCUUUACUUGACAGAUUUGAAAAGCUUGACCAAUAGGGAAAACAUGCCCUAAUUAUAGCUUUUGAUAUGGUUUGGGCAGAAGCUAAGCCAAAGCACUGCCCUUGGACCCUGGCAAGUGGCACCCCAGGCCCUGCAUUCUGAUGGCCGCAUGCUGGUCUCUGCUGGCCAUGCCAACCCCCACAUCUUGGUGCCUGCGUGAGUGUCCCUGGGCCUGAAAUGUGGCCGAGUAGUGGCCACCUGCCAAAGGGAAGGUGGUGGGCAGAGCAGUUCCAACGUGCUGGGGUGUCCCACGAAGGAACCCCUGGUGAGGGGUGGCAGAGGGAGGGAGUGGGGAGCAGACUCCAGGUCAGGGGCUCCAGGGAACCCAGAAACCUAGGGGUCAACUGUUCUUCCAGGUUGUUUAAGGGAGGUUUGUCGAGACAGGGGGAGAGCUCGUUCUUGAGGGGUAGGGAGUUUGCUGGGAAAAUGCACGCGUCACCCCUUUUCUGUGAACUCUCUCUAGGUGCACGUGCCUUGCCCAUGUCCUAUUGGUUUGGUAUUUUUUAAUUUUCUAUUUGUCAGUGCUCUUCAUAUAUCAGAGAAAUUAAUCCUAUU
This 4060-nucleotide long non-coding RNA is filed under the name Homo sapiens (human). Its description in RNAcentral is "long non-coding RNA NONHSAT106911.2". The record is from RNAcentral. Lineage: Eukaryota; Metazoa; Chordata; Mammalia; Primates; Hominidae.